AUGACUUGCAAAUUGCAAUGAAUUCAGAAUUAUAUUUAGUCAUGAAUUUGAAGAUCACAUUCAUGUGAUUACCUGUUGUCUAAGAACAACAGAGGAACAAUCAUCUGCGUCUCUUAUUAUAUAGAUUCCACUAUGUCAAAAUAACUAAGAGCAUGUUGAAGUAGUUAUUCAACUGAUCACAAUUGCAUAGUUUUUGUAAUGAUUAGAGGUAAUAAGAAGAGAAAAAAACAAUUGUACACUGACGACAUCUGUCAAGAGAAAAAACGACGUCGCUUCGACCUGCCAGUUUAAGAAGACGCGCUUGCCCCGCCUCAAGAAUCUAAAAGCUAUCAGAAAAAAAAACGCGCGAACACGGAACGAAUUUAGGGUUUUACACUUCUCCAAAUUCGCCAUGGCCAUUGAAUGCCUAGUUCUUGGUGCUGGACAGGAAGUAGGAAAAAGCUGUGUAGUAGUGACAAUCAACGGCAAACGAAUAAUGUUUGAUUGCGGAAUGCACAUGGGAUACGAUGAUCACCGUCGAUAUCCUGAUUUCUCUCUUAUCUCUAAAUCUGGAGAUUUCGAUAGUGCUUUGCAUUGCGUUAUUAUCACUCACUUUCAUUUGGAUCACGUCGGUGCUCUUCCUUACUUCACUGAAGUUUGUGGAUAUAAUGGACCUGUUUACAUGACGUAUCCAACAAAGGCAUUGUCUCCUUUGAUGUUGGAGGAUUAUCGGAAAGUAAUGGUUGAUAGAAGAGGAGAGGAAGAGCAAUUUACUGCUGAUCAUAUUAAACAAUGCUUGAAUAAAGUCAUAGCAGUGGACCUGAAGCAAACUGUGCAGGUUGACAAAGAUCUUCAAAUUCGUGCCUAUUAUGCUGGUCAUGUACUUGGAGCUGCAAUGUUUUAUGCAAAGGUUGGGGAUUCUGCUAUGGUUUACACAGGAGACUAUAAUAUGACCCCAGAUAGACAUCUUGGUGCAGCUCAAAUUGAUAGAUUGCAGCUAGAUCUUCUCAUAACAGAGUCUACGUAUGCAACAACUAUACGUGAUUCGAAGUAUGCUCGGGAGAGGGAAUUUCUUAAAGUUGUUCACAAAUGUGUUGCUGGUGGUGGAAAGGUGCUUAUACCCACAUUUGCUCUCGGAAGAGCUCAGGAACUCUGUCUAUUGUUGGAUGAUUAUUGGGAGCGUAUGAAUCUAAAGGUUCCUAUUUAUUUCUCAGCAGGUUUAACAAUUCAAGCGAAUAUGUACUACAAAAUGCUUAUCGGCUGGACCAGCCAGAAGAUCAAAGAGACAUAUACUUCACGCAAUGCAUUUGAUUUUAAAAAUGUUUAUACUUUUGACCGUUCACUGUUAGAUGCUCCUGGACCUUGUGUUCUCUUUGCCACACCUGGGAUGAUUAGUGGCGGUUUCUCACUUGAGGUUUUUAAGCGUUGGGCUCCUUGUGAGAUGAAUCUAGUAACAUUGCCAGGAUAUUGUGUUGCUGGAACCAUAGGACAUAAAUUGAUGUCAGGGAAACCCUCCAAAAUUAAUUUGGACAAGGACACCCAAAUUGAUGUGCGAUGCCAGAUUCAUCAAUUGUCUUUCAGUCCUCAUACAGAUGCCAAAGGAAUUAUGGAUCUUGUUAAAUUUCUCUCUCCUAAGCAUGUGAUACUAGUUCAUGGUGAGAAGCCUAAGAUGGCUUCUCUCAAAGAAAGAAUUCAGUCUGAAUUGGAAAUCCAAUGUUAUGUUCCUGCAAAUUGUGAAACUCUGUGCAUUCCUUCGACUCUUUUUGUGAAAGCAGAUGCCUCAGAGGCAUUUAUUCGCAGUUGCUUGAGUCCUAAUUUCAGGUUUUUAAACAAAAGUUUAAAGGACACAUCUGAUUUAGUUUUACAUAGCACAAAUGCCACGUCUCGACUUGAGGUGAGUGAUCAAAGAGUUGCUGAAGGGGUCUUGGUUGUGGAAAAAAACAAAAAAGCAAGGGUUGUUCACCAAGAUGAGCUUCUGCUUAUGUUGGGAGCAAAACAGCAUGAGGUUCAGUUUGCUUAUUGUUGCCCUGUACAGGUUGACAAUAUGGAUCAGACUAGAAGAGAUCCUAGCUCAACACAUGAUGAACUUCGUCUCUCUGAAAAGUGCUGCUGGCUUCAGAAAUUAUUCACAAAACUUACAAAUGAGUUUCCUGGAUGGAACAUUCAGAAUUUUGGGGAACAUCUACAAGCGGAGUCAUUUCAUGUAUCGACGUGUUUGAAGGAUGACUGCCCUUACAGAAAAAUUGGAAAUCCACAAAAGACAGCUGCAGUUUUUUUUUGCUGUACUUGGUCCGUAGCUGAUGAAAAGUUGGCAUGGGAGAUCAUUUCAACUAUGGAGAAUUGUCAUUUGAGUUUGGAAAAGCUUAUUCCAAGUGCUGAUUGAAAUGUGCACUGCCGGAAAGUACAUCGGGUUACUGAAGAACGCACUGGACUGUAUAUAUUGAACAAUUAACAGUGACCUUUUGUGCAUCAACUCACGACUUAUUUAGCACCAAGGAACCCACUGCUAAAUGCUGGUGACCCUUCUUGCAAACUGUUUUCGCCAGUUAUGUUGUGCAGAGAGUGUAAUUAUCGGGAUUCUUGUGUUAUAUCUUGGGUGGAAUUCUAAUUUCAAGUGUUGAUGUCUUGUGCUUGCAAGAUGCAGCAGCCUUUAGAGAAGUGUGAAAAAGGAAAGAUUCCAGCAAAAGCAACAUCAUGUACUGUUGAGUUUGUUUAGAUUGUCUCCCAAAAAAGAAAAAGGUUCGUACAGAUUAAAACUUAAACAAUAUUGGCAAUGCUGUUAUAGUCAAGUGAAGCCCUUCUUCAGUGAAAUGCUCUCAUAAUCAUAGAAGCAUACCACCUAACUGAGCCACAUAUCAGAUAUAACCCAUGUCUCAUAUGCCUACUCCGAUGUAAUUUUGCCACGUUUGGUGCGUCAAAUGUGCAUCUGCCUUCUCUAGUCUCCUCAUCCAGAAGCUGAAUUUGUAUGAAAGAAAUUGGAUAGGUGGGGACGCUUUUGAUCUUCUGGACAAAAUAUGAUCUUUCGUGUAUGCCUCCAAUUUCACAUACAUUUCCUCUGUUUAUUGUUACUUUAACAAGUACCAAUCGGUGUUUCCACCCUUUAUUUGCCUUAUUCCUUUUCUUACUGAUCAACUAGUGCUUGCAGGUGAUGGCAAUAUAGUUUACUUGAAAGUCUUCUUCCGGUAUUAUGUGGUUCAUUCUUUCAUUAUUGAAAGCAACAGGUUGAUGUUUAUUAAAAAAAAAUUAUGUGAAGAUAUCAUAUUCUUAUUAUUUUUUAAUUCAGAAGAUAUUAUAUUACAUUUC
RNA transcript from Ricinus communis (castor bean), 3282 nucleotides. It is a transcript of the gene named cleavage and polyadenylation specificity factor subunit 3-II, with no coding region annotated. The transcript is spliced from 14 exons. The record is from RefSeq and is a predicted model, not a curated record. Lineage: Eukaryota; Viridiplantae; Streptophyta; Magnoliopsida; Malpighiales; Euphorbiaceae.